UCUCCGUAGGUGAACCUGCGGAGGGAUCAUUACAGAGUUCAUGCCCUAACGGGUAGAUCUCCCACCCUAUGUUAUCAUCACUUUGUUGCUUUGGCGGGCCGUCAGGCCUCGGCUUGGCUACCGGCUCUCGCUGGUAAGCGCCCGCCAGAGAACCCCAAACCCUGAAUAUCAGUGUCGUCCGAGUACUAUAUAAUAGUUAAAACUUUCAACAACGGAUCUCUUGGUUCUG
This 229-nucleotide unclassified non-coding RNA is filed under the name plant metagenome. RNAcentral's name for it is "partial contains small subunit ribosomal RNA, internal transcribed spacer 1, and 5.8S ribosomal RNA". The record is from RNAcentral.